UUAACCUCCCUAAUAAAUGACGUCAAUUUAAGUAUUAUGACAUUAAUUAAUUAAAUUAAUUACUUUAGAUAAGGUCAUUAUUAAGUGUUACUAAUUAAUUGGCGUUAUUGAAUAAGUAUAUAUAUAUAUUUUCUUUAUAUUUGAUGACAAUUCCCAGUCGUCUAUAAAUAGAUACACAGGAAAACCCCAUCUAAGUGUGUAUUUACAUAUCAUUAUUGUAUAAGAUGUCUCUGGUAUUAUUUAUUCACCUACGGUUAUUUAUCUCUGAUUAUUAAAUCAAUAUUGAAUGCGUGUUUAAACUUGUCCAGUAUUGUACGUAGUGACCUUUAACAUGUUGAUACGUGUCAAUAAAUCCGCCAUAUUGAAAAAUCGCGUCGGUCUUUUGAAAUCAUUAAAUCGUUAUAUUAUUGGC
This 412-nucleotide long non-coding RNA is filed under the name Mytilus galloprovincialis (Mediterranean mussel). Lineage: Eukaryota; Metazoa; Mollusca; Bivalvia; Mytilida; Mytilidae. The record is from RNAcentral.